UAGGGAAUCUUCGGCAAUGGGGGGAACCCUGACCGAGCAACGCCGCGCGAGUGAAGAAGGUUUUCGGAUCGUAAAGCUCUGUUGUUAAGGAAGAACGAGUGUGAGAAUGGAAAGUUCAUACUGUGACGGUACUUAACCAGAAAGGGACGGCUAACUACGUGCCAGCAGCCGCGGUAAUACGUAGGUCCCGAGCGUUGUCCGGAUUUAUUGGGCGUAAAGCGAGCGCAGGCGGUUAGAAAAGUCUGAAGUGAAAGGCAGUGGCUCAACCAUUGUAGGCUUUGGACACUGUUUAACUUGAGUGCAGAAGGGGAGAGUGAAAUUCCAUGUGUAGCGGUGAAAUGCGUAGAUAUAUGGAGGAACACCGGUGGCGAAAGCGGCUCUCUGGUCUGUAACUGACGCUGGGGCUCGAAAGCGUGGGGAGCGAACAGG
Molecule: ribosomal RNA, 429 nt
Filed under: Bacteroidota bacterium
Lineage: Bacteria; Pseudomonadati; Bacteroidota
Description: Bacteroidetes bacterium partial 16S ribosomal RNA
Rfam family: Bacterial small subunit ribosomal RNA
Source: RNAcentral